Molecule: long non-coding RNA, 1297 nt
Organism: Chrysemys picta bellii (western painted turtle)
Lineage: Eukaryota; Metazoa; Chordata; Testudines; Emydidae
Source: RefSeq, a predicted model, not a curated record
CUGCACCCCCUUACAUUCCUCCUGCCCCCUUGCACCCCCUUACACCCCUCCUGGCCCCCCUUGCACCCUCUGCCCCCCUUAACCCCCCUGCACCUUCCCUUACACCCACCCCUGCCCUAUCUAUAACCUGGUAACAGCUGAGGGCUACCCAGAGGGGCAUCACCUGUAACUAAGGAGGACGUUAAAUCAGCAGGUCUGAGUAACUUGCAUCCAAGAGCUUUAAAACAGCUGGCCGAGGAGCUCUCUGGACCAUUAAUUUUGAUUUUCAAUAACUCUUGGAACACUGGGGAAGUUCCAGAGGACUGGAAGAAAAUCAAUGUUGUGCCAAUACUUUCAAAGGGUGAACGGGAUGACCCAGAUAAUUAUGGGCUGUCGGCCUGACAGCGAUCCUGGACAGACUAAUGGAACAGCUGACACAGGACUUGAUCAAUAGAGAGAUAGAAGAGGAUAAUAUAAUUCAUGUCAAUCCGCGUAUAUUUAUGGAAAAUAGAGCUUGUCAAAUUGUCUCGAUAACUUUUCUUGGUGAGAUUACUGGUAACGUUUGGCUGGUAAAAGGAGCAAGUUGAUGGAAUACCAGAAACAUCUAUGAGGUGUUGGGCUUGGUACCACGUGGCAUUUUGAUUAACCGUGUUUAUUACGGUAGCGCCUAAGGACCUACCGCGGACGGGCCCAUUGAGUGAGACAAGACACAAACACAGAGCAGCAGAUGGUCCCUGCCUCGAACAGCUGACAAUCAAAAGAGACAAGACAGACAAAGGGAGGGAGAAUCUUCGAAUCAUAGAACUGCAGGGCUGGAAGGGGCCUCGAGAUGUUGUCCAGCACCCUGCGCUGAGGCAGGACCAAGUAAACCUGACAUCUGGUUGUGCAGCCUGUUCUUGGAAACCGCCAGUGACAGGGAUUCCACAACCUCCCCUGGACGCCAAUUCCUGGAUUUCCAGGAUACGAACCAAUGCAAACGCUAUUACAAGCCCGGGGCAGGAGCGUGGAUCCGCGCCUGGUGGGUUGCACGCGGAAUUCGGAAUGGAGACUGGGAAGCACAAACAGUGAACCAUGCAUUUAAAAAGUGAAGUUUUACUAGAAUUUGCACAUUCUAGCUAAGAUGUGCCAGGGUGUUAAAAAUAAGACCCUGAUAUUGUCUUCUCUGUUAGUAAACCUCCCUGUACCUCACCAAGGGGGUACCAAGCCCCCUGUAAACAGUGAACUGUCUGGGGGGGAUGGAGAAAUUGAAAUGUGGUCCAUUUACAAAUGUAGGCUAAAUGUCGUCCAUGGGUGGCAAAUCAUUAGUCUGAAUCACGGC